RNAcentral lists this small RNA (539 nucleotides) under Drosophila pseudoobscura pseudoobscura. RNAcentral describes it as "GA32356". The record is from RNAcentral. Lineage: Eukaryota; Metazoa; Arthropoda; Insecta; Diptera; Drosophilidae.
UCGCAUUGUCGAACACAACACUAAACAAAUCACAUCAGAAAAAAAAACAGAAAAAUUAAAAAAAGAAAAAAACAAUUUUCAAAUUUCAAUGGUCGAAAUUUGGAGGCCUUACCAGUGACGCUGCCCCAUACGAUGGCCGUGACGUCACUCCAACUUCAAGAUGCUGACUUCUCCAACGACGAGGCCAGCCACUACAGCGACACUGGCCAACGAGCCAAAGCCAAUACCAUCGACAAUGCAUCCUGGGUGGCCGGGAUGCCACAGCCACUCGGAUGCAACCAAUUCCAAUUAAUAGGAAACCUACUUAAAUUAUAAUGACUUAAUGGUUCUGCCAAAUCUGCCUUUCCGUCUCUACGACCGUGGCAGACGAGCGUAAUGGAAACGGAAGGAGGACGAAGGACGAAGCCGCAUAGAAGAAACGCCUGAGCCAUUGUUUCUUUUAUUUUUUUUUUCCACAUUUUGCUUUAUUAAAAAAAAUCCACUUUGUUCUUAAUCUCCAGUAAAAAGAAUUCCGAAAUAAUAUUUUUCAAAAUUUAAAA